RNAcentral lists this ribosomal RNA (396 nucleotides) under uncultured bacterium. RNAcentral describes it as "partial 16S ribosomal RNA". It matches the Rfam family "Bacterial small subunit ribosomal RNA", at positions 523 to 918 of the family's 1533-position model. The record is from RNAcentral.
CUACAGAGGGUGCGAGCGUUAAUCGGAUUUACUGGGCGUAAAGCGCGGGUAGGUGGCUAAUUAAGUCAAAUGUGAAAUCCCCGAGCUUAACUUGGGAAUUGCAUUCGAUACUGGUUGGCUAGAGUAUGGGAGAGGAUGGUAGAAUUCCAGGUGUAGCGGUGAAAUGCGUAGAGAUCUGGAGGAAUACCGAUGGCGAAGGCAGCCAUCUGGCCUAAUACUGACACUGAGGUGCGAAAGCAUGGGGAGCAAACAGGAUUAGAUACCCUGGUAGUCCAUGCCGUAAACGAUGUCUACUAGCCGUUGGGGGAUUUGAUCCUUUAGUGGCGCAGCUAACGCGAUAAGUAGACCGCCUGGGGAGUACGGUCGCAAGACUAAAACUCAAAUGAAUUGACGGGG